RNAcentral lists this ribosomal RNA (180 nucleotides) under uncultured Glomeromycotina. Its description in RNAcentral is "partial small subunit ribosomal RNA". The record is from RNAcentral. Lineage: Eukaryota; Fungi; Glomeromycota.
GGAUUGACACAUCGGUCGUGCCUUAAGGGGUAUGAACUGGUGUAGUCAAUUUCUCACCUUCUGGAGAACCGCGAUGCCCUUAAUUGGGUGUCACGGGGAACCAGGACCUUUACUUUGAAAAAAUUAGAGUGUUCAAAGCAGGCGUAACUCGCCUCCGAAUACGUUAGCAUGGGAUAAUGG